AGCAUAACUAAUUUUUGGGAUGAAGAAAACCAGGAACCAAUUACCAACAAAGAAAACAGGAGCUCAUAUAUGAAAUGAUUAUGGCCACUGAAAAACUCAAGAGUUCGUUUUCUAGCUGAACCAUUGAACCAAUAUAAUCUAUACAUAACUUCUCUGCACACGCGAAUAGUUGGCUAAAAAUAUAAUACCAGAGGAGUGGAUGCGCUCAUGCGCAGUUUAUCUUCCUACAUGAAUAUUGGGGAGGUAAUCAGGUAAGUAUAAUAUCUGAGAAGGAUUUACAGGGAAGAUCCCAAUAUAAUGAAAUCGAGAUCAUGUCCAACCAUGGAUAACAAAAGGCAACAUUCCAGUUCCCCCACAAUUCCGGCCCCCAAGUGGUCUGUCUUUUCCAUCCAGUGCAACUGCCUUUAGAGAGUUGCUUAUCCGUCGGUAUAAGAUUUGUUGGCUAUCCCUUAUGGUCAAAACACACAAGACACAAGCUGCACUUCAUGUCCUGAAUGCAUAAAAUAGCUCAAGUGAAGAUUGAAGACCUGACCGUUCUCAAGUGCAUCAGGUAGUUCAUAUGCAUAUGCAUCACAUAUCCUUCACUGAGGAUGACAAGUGAAGAUUUGGAUGAUACCCUAGUUUGUAUCUGUCUUAAUCUCUAAGUCUGACUUCAUGCAUAUUUAAAUGUAUUUGCUUCAGCUUUUCAAGUAUUUAAAUUUCAAAUCUCUAUUAAUAAAACAUUUUUCAUUGUGCUUGAGCUCCAAGUUAGUCUAGGGUUGUGUUGUUCUUCCAACCAAUGAGCACAUGACUAAAGCACUUUUAGGUCAGCUCUUUUUUUAGUCCAACUGGGUUUUGUGAUACACAGACCAAGUCAGCUACUGACCCAUGUGAGGCACCGCCCAAGCUAUAUAGCCGGUCUAAGUGUCCUCUUUAGAAUUAGUGGUUUUGUGAUGUCUUAUCACCUAUUUAAAACUGAUUUAGUUUUCAAAACCCUUGACUCUUUCUCUUGGCUUCAUUCCCAUUUGGGAAAAUCUCACUUGGCUUUUGUCUUAGGCGUGAUGGAUCCGUCAGAUCAUAUCUAUCUUACUUUUGGUGAGACAAAACACUACAGUCCAAAAUGAAGCCUUCUUGAUUUGGUAAUUGUGCGUGCCCUUUCAUGGCUGGUACUUUGCCUAUAUAUAUAUAAGGCUCUGCUCCUCAUACUCUUUGGUUGUUGAAAAUUGUCAUUUGCAUUUAGCAUUAUUUCUUCUUUGCUCCUUUGCUCUAAGUCUUCAUCGUUGAUUAUAAAUCUUAGAGCUGAGCACCAAACAUUUUCAAAACCCAUAUCAUUGUUCAUUGUUCAUUGUUCAUGCAUACCUUGAGAGCGGUCUAGGUGAUGCAACCCGGUGAAGUCUUCAUAGAGAAUUAGCUAGGGAGUUAGUUAAGUUCAUGUGAAGCAUGUUGUAAGCUGUCUUAGAGAAUUAGCUAAUGGCGUUAGUUAAGUUCUGCUUUGAAGCAUGGCAUAAUCCUAUGUGCAAAACACUUGAGAGACAAGAGAGCAAGUUUAGUUGAGUGCUAGUAGUUAGACUAGGCAGUAUGGCUAGAUGUGGUGUCAUCCUCUGAGUUGUGAGUCUUGUAAAGAAAUGUGUUUAUAAUAGUGAAAAAGUUUUUGAAGCAUGGCAUAAUCCUAUGUGCAAAACACUUGAGAGACAAGAGAGCAAGUUUAGUUGAGUGCUAGUAGUUAGACUAGGCAGUAUGGCUAGGUGUGGUGUCAUCCUCUGAGUUAUGAGUCUUGUAAAGAAGUGUGUUUAUAAUAGUGAAAAAGUUUGUCCCUCAAGAGUUAAGAGCACACAGUUUUUCUCCCUGGGUGCAAGGUUUCUGCGAGUACAAAUGUACUGGUGUUAUAUCUUUACUUUCUAGUACUUGCAUAUUUACAUUUAUAACUUAGUCUCACAGUAAACAGAAUAGCCUAAUCUUUACUAUCCUUACGCGCGGGAUAGAGAAAAAAGUUGUCAAAGAUUAAGACCUGAAAUCCCUAAUGUCAAAACAUAUCCAUGGUAAGUUAUACAGUAUUGUUUUUGAGAGCCACCAAAACCAACUAUACUCUUCAAGUUAACAUUAUAAUAUAAGAAGAAUUAGGUUGAAAGUGCCACCCAAAACCAAAGCAGGAGCUAGUAGUCUCUGUCCACUUAAAAAUCCUUCCUAACUCAAACAUUUUAUCAGAAGAUAUCAAAGCAAUGGUGACGCCCACUACGCGGGAGACUCAUAAGAAAGACUAUCCUCUGUCUUCUCUUAAACAAAAUACUAAAUCCAUGAUUCAAGAGACAGAUUGAAUGAACUCUUCAUGGCCCAUAAAAGAGAAGAUUGAACAAAGCAAGUAUCAUUAAGAACAUAAAUGAUGUGUUAGCAGACAAGUAAGGACUAAUCAAACAACUUGCAUCAGGCAACAUGAAAGAAAUAAGCAUCAAGCCAACACAUAUCCCUUCAUUUUUUGUUGGAAACUAUAGUAAUCGCUUAUAAUCAAGAAGAUAGUUGACAGAAAAAAGAUCAAUACCUUCGAUGGUUUAGCUGAAUGGUCCGAAUCCUCUUGACUGCCACUCUUGUUGUCAAGAUUGGAUCUUACAUGAAAGUAUGAAACCCAACUGACUUUGAGUUCACUGCAUACAAAUGAUAGUUAAAACCAUUGUCUAAUCAACAAUAACAUCUCUACAUAUGCUACUGUAUUCAUGCUUUUAUAGAUACAUGCAACUAAAGAAACAGAAAACCAGAUAAGAGUAUCUGAAGGGAACUAACUGGUUUAAGUUGCAGAGAGAAAAAGAACACUUACAGUGGGCUGGUGAGGAUUUUGGUAGGCGUUGCGGGAUGGCUGACUGGCUGAGAGAUGAGAGGAAGAAGAAGAAGAAGCCAUCUUCUCUCUUUCUAUGUUCCCCACGACAACGUAGAAAGAGGAAGAUUCCAAUCAAGAAGAAGAACCUUGAUUGCUCAGUGUGAGACUCUUCUAUUUCGUAUAACAUUUCAUUGCUUUUGAAAGAAGAUGAGUUUCAAUUACUGAAUAUGAAUAUAUGAUAUGAUCACUAGAGAAGAAAUAUGAAAUAGAAGAAACUCUAGCUACCUAUAAUUAGAAUAGAAUGGCAUCCCCCCUCUGUUAUAUAUUGUUGGAAAAAAAAAAAAAAAAACAAUGCAACUUGGGCUUUUAGCGGGCUAGGCGGAGUUGGUCCACGUCUAGGCGCUCUGGGUGGUUAUGUGUCUAGACCUAACGAGUAACGGAAAACGAGCCGUGAUUCACCUAGGCCUAACGGGUAACAGGCCAUGAUGAGCCUAGACCUACGUAUUGUAUUCGAUCAUAACGAGGUACAGGUAACGGGUAUGGGGAUUCCCAGUAUUCAGAUUUUUGAAUCAGGUAUGAGACAUGUAUGAUUAUUUGAUAUUUGUUCUCAUCCCCACUCAUUUAGGAUUGGAAAUAUUAUUAUAUAUAAUUUAUUUUAUAUAUAUUUUUUAAUAUAUAUAAUUUAUAAAUAGAUAUUUAUGUAAAAAUCUUCUGCAAUAAUUUUUUUUUUCUGAUUCUUAUAGUGAAUAUUUAUAGAAACUUUCUUUUUAAGUCGAGAGUUGUAUUCAUUUUUGUUAAAUUGAAUCAAGAAACUUAUUUAUUUUGAUAUUUGAUUCUAGUUUCAUAUUUCUAUAUUUCUAAAUUUUAAAAAAAAUUAAUUUAUUAAAUAAUUAUUAACGAGGAUCGGGGCAGGUAUGGGAACGUAAUCCCCAAAGGGAAAGGGGACGGGGAAUCCCUUACAGGGUCUGGGACGGGCAUGGGGAUUGGGAAUGAAAUAGGGUAUGUGUAUGAUUUUUUGAUCCACUGAGCAUACCCUCCCCAUUGUUCAUGUUAUGGCCUCAUUAUGCUCAUGUUAUGGUAAUUGCGUGUUCUACAGCAUUUCUAAGUUUCCAGUACUAAUGUCCUUAAAAGUAUUUCUUAUAUCUUUCUUAGUAGCAGUAUUAGUACUAAGAAAAAUUCUGUGUAAGAUGGUUUUGGUCUUGUGCCUCCCUAUGAAUACACCUGCAUAAUCAUACAAGUAUCGCUCAAAAUAUAUUGUUUGUCUCCUUUCAUGCAGCUUUCAUUUUAGGACAUGUGUUUCUCCAAAAUAUUUAUUAAAAUGUGACAACAUUCAUCGAUCAUGAACUUGGUAACAAUAUCUAGUGUUCAUUAAGAGGAACUUCCUCGUACCUAGUAAGAAGUUCAACAUAAGAAACUUGAAAUUGAUUUCAGGCCUUGUAUCUUAGCCCAUUAAGGUUGGGUCGUGUUUGGAAACCGACCCACCAAACUAAGUCCCUUCAAAUUCGCCUGCAGACGCAUUGAACCGGCUGCUCUAUUUAACGCUCCGGUUCGGCGCGUGGAGGUUACCCGCUUCUUGCUUCAACUCCGUCGUCCCCUUCCUCCGCUCUGCUUGAAAUGGAGUCAAGGUACUUUCUACUCUUUCUAUUACAUUUUCGGUGGAUUCAAACUUGUUUGGGUUGUCUUUUAUUCUGUACGGAUUUUUGGGAUUGUGAUCGAUGAUUAAUGGUUGGGUUUAACUUGAUCAUUGUUGAUUGGGUUUAAUUUACUUGAUCAUUGUAUGAGCUCAUUAUUACGCACGGGCUAAGCAUGACUGCUGUCCUUCCUAUGAAAGCACAACGGUUGCUGGUAAUUUCAUAGUACUAUAGUCUACCUAACUACUACUCCGGUAUUGGCAGUUAAGUAUUCGUAAGGUGAUAACAUUGUUGCUAGCUUUCAGAAUUUUGGUUCCAGUUGCUUUGUUCCCUUGUUGCUUACAUAUAUUAUCCUGUAUUAUUCUUAAAAUCUGACUAAACCAUGCCUCUGGAUCGUUUUUAGUGAGUCUACUUCUUUUGACCACAAUGAUACAUGAAUCUAUACUAUCACAGUAUGUAGUGUUCUGCAAAUUAUGUCAUUGAAAUUGAUAUAUAGAAGCACUUGAGUAUGGUUGCAUGAUCACACUUAGAUUUGAAGAUGAAGGAUUCAUUUAGUUUCGCAAAAGCAAGAAUUGUUGUGUAUAACCAUCAAGUUGAAUUCAUUGUAAUUUAGACACAAACAUGAAUGUUGUUCAAUGAAAGAUUAAAGAGCAAUAGAGGUAUGAUUUGAAGUAUGGAAAGAUUAUCAUUGGUGUAUUACGUACAAUUUGAUUGUACACCUCUGCUGAAAUUAUAGAAACAUGGUGAAUGCUCCUAAAGUUAGCCAAUACCUGGUUAAGCUCCCUGUCUUAACUCCUUGAACAAAAAUGCUUACGAUAUCUUGUUUUUAUUUAUUUGUGCCUUGCAUUAUAAGUCCGAAGUUAUAAUUUUGAGUAUUACUGGUAGACUUGUCAUGUUUCAAAUCAACAGAGCUCAUUUCUGCAUGUACUUCAUUCGUAAUGGUUAUUCAGCGCAAUGAAAUUUUCUACUUGCAUUUUAUCAAUUUGGAUUACAUAGCUUUGACACAUAAGUUUCUCUCAUGUGUCAAUAUAUUCCAAAGGUUGUUGAUCAAGCUGAAGCUGCUAAGUUGAUUGAUCCAACUGAUGUGCCAAUGUACCAGCCUGUGAAAUAAAACUUCCAAAGGGGUUCCAGCUGCAGCCAUCCCAUAGAAUUCACGAUAGUGAACAGAUGACAUGAUCAGAAAAAUGCCUCGGUAUGUUCACCUUUUUUUACCAGUCUUUACUCUUUUGAUUUGUACUUUCUAAAUCAUGCUAGUGUUGUUGUUUUUUUCUAUGCUAAUACAUUGCUCGGCUUUCACAUAUUACCCUUGUAUUACUAAUCAAAGGUUUUAUCUCUUAGAUUUACUAAUUCUGAAAACCAAAUUUGGAAAGGCUUGGUCUUGGCGUUGGAGACUGAGAUGAGUGAAUCGAUUCUCUGUUUAUUUUUAGCCAAUUUUCAUUUCCUCAGUCGAUUUCAUUUCUCUAUAGAACUUAGAAAUGUUAGAAUGGUUUUGGUAAAAAAGAAAGCAGAGUCCUCCAAGACCCAAGGUCAAGAUGCCUACUAAUCACGGGGUGAGAUUAAUUAGAGAACUGUUUGAUAUCAUUUUCACACAUUUUAAAGUAUUAAGCAAGUUUCGGAUCAACUUCCAGUUUUGUAGUUUAAUUAUCUUAUUGGCCGGCGGCAAGUUGAGAUAUUAUAACAUCUGGGUUUGAUAUUUUCUCAAGCAAUAGGUUUUAAAUACUUGACAUUUCUGUAUCAUGACAUUUUCACCGUACCAUGUGAAACCGAAGAUUAGGAUCACCUUGUUCAGACAACUAACUCAUUUAAAAUGACUUCUAUGGCCAAGUUGUUAGUUAUCUAUGUCAUGGUCGCUAACAACUUUCUCAAGCUUUUGCCUUUGGUGGGUUCCAAUGAGGCAAUGACCUGCAAUAGUUGACAUUAUUGGCUCUCUUGUUGUUUCCAGUGAAUAUCAAUGAUACAUUUCCAGUGAAUUGAGUAGGAAAAGCUGCUGUAAAUUUGCCUACCGAUUGUAAGGGCAAGGAGGAUAGCUUUAGAGUGUAAGGGUCUACCGAUUGCAUUGAUAGCUGUUGCAAGGGCGCUCGGAGAUGAGGACUUGGAGGAAUGGGAGAAGGCAGCUGAACGACUAGAGCAGUCGAAAUAUGUCAAUCCUAACCAUGAGGAAGAUGCAUUCCAAUGUAUAAGAUUAAGCUAUAAUUACUUGAAAGAUGGGGAUUCCAAGUCAUGCUUCUUGCUCUGUUGCCUGUUCCCAGAAGACCGUAACAUCGAAAUAGAAGACUUGUUCCGGUACGCGAUCGGAAAAAGAUUGUUUCGAGAUGCCCAAACAAUGGAAGAAGCCAGAGGAAAAUUAGUUACAGUGGUCAAGUACCUGAAAGGUUCUAGCUUGCUUUUGGAUAGUGAGGAAGAAGGAUGUGUUAAGAUGCAUGAUGUCAUCCGGGAUACAGCCCUGAAUAUUGCACAAUCUGAAGAUGGGCAUCGGUUUUUUGUGAAAGCUGGCUGUGGUUUAAAGGGUUGGCGGCCACGCGGAUUACAUGAAGGCUGCACUGCUAUUUCACUAAUGAGGAACAAAAUUCGCAAGCUACCCGAAGAAGAGUUGGUAUGUCCAAAUCUCCAGAUUUUAUUACUAAACAGGAAUUUUGGACUAAGUGAGAUCCCCGAAAAGUUGAUCCAGAAUCUGAAAGAGUUAAGGGUCUUGGAUCUUAGCAACACUAGUAUUUCCGUAUUACCCCAAUCAUUUAGUCUCCUCACCAACCUCCAAGCUUUGUAUUUAGAUGAUUGCAGCAAAUUAAUUGACAUUUCCGUUGUGGGGAAACUUAACAAGCUUGAAAUUCUUAGUAUGAGAGGUUGUCCCAGGGGGCAAUUGUUCAGAGAAAUAGAACAUUUGACCAAUCUACGGAUUUUGGACGUCAAUCGCUCUUGGGGACAAUUCAUAUUGAGAGGAAGAAUGGUUACAAUUCCAUCUAAAGUGAUAUCAAAGUUGCAAGAAUUAGAAGAAUUGUACAUGGUGUACUAUGUAUUUGAGGAGGAUGGGUCGUGUGUAGCUGAGGGACCAAGAGAAAGAACCAAUAUUAUUAGGUUUGAUGAGAUAGCUGGUUUAUCAAAUUUGAAAAUAUUGCAGGUUGGCUUAUCCGAUGAAGGUUUUAUCCCUAAAAAUGUUGAGGCCGCACCAGAUUGGGAUUACUUUUGUAUAAGUGUCUUCGGCAGAUGCAGCGACACUACAUUCUGGCCCGUUGCAUACAAACAAGGAGAUCGUAAUUCAAGAUCCUUGCUUCUUAAUGGAGCAACCAUCAAUACCUUGGCUGAUUGGUUUAUCAAAGCGGUGACAGAGAAAACAGAAAAGCUAGAGUACAACCGCUGCAAAGGGAUGAGUGACAUUGUUAUGGAAUAUGACCGUGGGAGGUUACAUAAACUCAAGCAUCUCACAGUUGCUGGGCCACAAGACGAGUUGAAAGAGUUGAUGAACACAACAAGACGAGUUGAAAUAGGACCAGUGUUUGAGAAUUUGGAAGAGUUGCAUCUGAAAUUAGUGUUCGACCUGGAGGAGUUGUGUGUUGGUGAGUUACCACCUGGGUCUCUCUCAAAUCUCAAGGUGUUUCAUGUGUAUUGUGGUUGGAUUUUGAGGAGUGUAUCAGAAUUUGUACAGAGACUACCAAAUCUGAAGAAACUAGAUUUAAACUCUAUGCUCAAAUUGGAACAUGUGUUCAGAUGCGAAGGGUUCGAGCCAGAACAAUCAAAACUGAGAGAGAUGCAUUUGUUGUGGCUAGAAGAACUAAGAAACAUAUGUAAUGGACUAAUGGUCCCGCUCCACGUGCAAUGUUCCAGAGUCUUAAGAUUUUGACGAUUUACCGUUGCGAGCUGCUGCAAAGUCUGUUCGCAUCUGAUGUAGCUCAGUGUCUUGUUCAAUUGGAAGACCUUCUUGUACAGGAUUUCCCUUUGUUGGAAAGAGUAAUGGAAGCAGUGAACAAGGAGAAGACGGUUCUACCAAAACUGAAGAACUUGGUUUUGAAGAAUCUUCCUAAUUUGUAUGGUGCAAUUGCUGUCGUUGAUAUUGAGUGUCCUUCAUUGGUACGCUUGAUGGUGGUGGAUUGCCCCAAGCUUUUGUUUUCAACCUCUUCCGAUCUCUUCGAAGCCUUCAAAUGCAGGAACCAAUUUUCAUUUUCAGCCUCCACGUCUGACCCAGUCCAACUCGAUGAUCCACAACAUUACCAAACUCUACGUGGCAGGUAUUGAAAUAGUUUCUUAGUUUGUUCUUUUCUUCUGUAUUUUGUAGGGCAGCAAUUGGGCAAAAACUGAUUUGAUCAAUUAAUAUCUGUGAUUCAAUUUUUAUUCGUCCCACUCUUUUAAAACAAUUGAGCUCUAACUAUAGGACAGAACACGAAACACAAUUAAAAUAGUAUUUUUAUUUUCAUUCUUAUUUUUCUUUGUUAUCUGUGAACAACAACAAAAAAGUCAAAAUUAUGCACAAUAUUUAAAGUUGAUGAUUGUUUCGUUUUCUUUACUCUAGUAAUGCAAGUUAGAAGCAAUGUUAUGGACACUCCUAGAAUGUUACUUUUCUGUUUAAAUCUAUAAUUUUAAUAGUAAUUCUUUUUUCUUUUCUUUUUUUUCCUAUUUUGAUGCAACAGAACAUCUGGUUUCCACUAGUGAAGUCUCUAGCUCAGCUUCUGACUUCCAUUGCAGGAAGUAACCAAGUUCAACUCUAUUUCUUUGUCCAGGUAUGCUAUGUGAUCAACUGAAUUAUUUUCUUUUCAUUGAAUGGUAAAUUUCUUGUGAUUCCAUAGAAACUACAAAUGUCACCUUUUUCUAAGAUAAUGGAGUUCUCAUAAUUCAUUGGCUUUCCCAGUCUUCUGUGUAUUAGUGAUUCAGUGCAACAAGCAAAAUUUUAACUACAAUUUUCUUUUUCGCUCCUAUGUUCUUAUUUUUCUUGUUAUAAUUCGUCGUUAUCAAUCAUUUCUUGGACAGUAAAUUGGUUGUUGGACAAAUCCAGCACGCGGAUACUAGAUGAGAGAGAAAGUACUGGAAGCUCCCCAGAAAGAAGGUUAGAGCUGAAAUCAAGGACCUCAAGAUGAGUCAAGGACAAGAAGGAAGCAACACUUUGAUGUAGAAAAUUUUGGGAGAGAUUCAAGUGGGUGAGAUGUGUGAGAUUUUCAAGUGCUAGUUUUGAUGAAGCAAAUGUAAUACAUUGUUUGAGUGUGAGGCCAUCGGAGGCCAAUGAGAUACGGGUGACCCAACCAGCCGCAUCGCAGUUGAUGCCUUGCCAGCAGCAACAGCCACCGGAAGUCCAGUUUAAGGAAGAAAGAGAAGAAAGAGCCAGAGAGAAGUAUGUUCAGUUGGGUUGCAUGCAUGGAUGAUACUAGCAGUACUACUUAGUAUGUAACAGAAUACGAUAAGAAAAAGAAGGAAACAAUGAGAAUUGAUGAUCUAGACGUGGACAACAACAACGAGCAUGAAACCGCAUGGCUCCUUUCGUCAACUCCCUGGUUUUAUGUUCUUGCUGGGAUUGGGUUCAUUGUAGGAUUCUGGGGAGUGUGUGGUUCAUUGAUUUUCAGCGAGACACGGAGAUAUGCAUACUUCCGUUUCAUAGAAAAGGUACAAGACAUGUUCUACGUGACGAUCGCUGUGUGUAUCAAGUACCAACAAGAUGAAGAGAAGGCUGGACCUGAAUUUGUAAUUACCCACUGUUGCUUGUUUUCAAUUGUGAAUUUGUGGCACCUGAAUCGUGAGUGAUGCUGCUGAAAUGCUUCCUCUUUUUCAUUAGUUCAAUCCACACCUUCCUCUUAAGGAAAACUAAAUCAGUAACAGGGUUUCAAAUGGGAUGAGAGUUCUAUAAUAUGACCAACAUAAUCAUCAACUCACUGAAAAUGAGAGGAGAAAACAUUCAAUGAAUCAGCAGGGAGCACCGCAAAUUGCAAAGAUUAUUCCGCAUGUGUCUUCUAGUACCUGUUAUAUAAAGAACUGUAUGAAACAAUACAGCUUGCAUUGAAAAUGUCAAAUAUUUGUACAAUUAAUGGCUCUAAUAUGACACCCUCAAAUUCAAAACUGCAUCGGCUUGAACAACACAGGAUUCUAGCUAAAUUUGCUAACAACACAGGAUUCUAGCUAAAUUCAAAACUCGCCGGUGUUGUUGGAUGGUUUCUGUUAAGAAUUUGGCACUAGCCGACCAUUGUACAUCUUCUCAAGUAGAUGCUUUGCAUCAGGCCUCCUGAGAAGACCUUUGUUGUUUGGUACACCAGUCCCUAAACAUACGGGCAAACGAGUUUUCCACAACCUGACAAUAAUAAGAACCAAUCACUCAUCAAAGAUAAUGAGUAUCCAUAACAGUAGGAUACAAACAUUAUUUCUUCUUUGCUCCUUUGCUCUAAGUCUUCAUCGUUGAUUAUAAAUCUUAGAGCUGAGCACCAAAUAUUUUCAAAACCCAUAUCAUUGUUCAUUGUUCAUGCAUACUUUGGGAGCGGUCUAGGUGAUGCAACCUGGUGAAAUCUUCAUAGAGAAUUCGCUAGGGAGUUAGUUAAGUUCGUGUGAACCAUGUUGUAAGCUGUCUCAGAGAAUUAGCCAAAGGCGUUAGUUAAGUUCUGCUUUGAAGCCUAGCAUAAUCUUAUGUGUAAAACACUUGAGAGACAAGAGAGCAAGUUCGGUUGAGUGCUAGCAGUUAGACUAGGCAGUAUGGCUAGGCGUGGUGACAUCCUCUGAGUUGUGAGUCUUGUAAAGAAGUGUGUUUAGAAUAGUGAAAAAGUUUGUUCCUCAAGAUCAGUUAGGGGCACACAGUUUUUCUUCAUGGGUGCAAGGUUUCUGCGAGUAAAAAUGUACUUGUGUUAUAUCUUUACUUUCUAAUACUUACAUAUUUAUAUUCACAACUUAGUCUCACAGCAAACAGGAUAGCCUAAUCUUUGUUAUCCUUGUGCAUGAGAUAGAGCAAAAAGUUGUCAGAGAUUAAGGCCUGAAAUAUUCCCUAAUGUCAAAACAUAUCCAUGGUAAGUUAUACAAUAUUGUUUUUGUAAGCCACCAAAACCAACUAUACUCUUCAAGUUAACAUUAUAAUAUAAGAAGAAUUAGGUUGAAAGUGCC
Molecule: long non-coding RNA, 11478 nt
Filed under: Fragaria vesca (wild strawberry)
Lineage: Eukaryota; Viridiplantae; Streptophyta; Magnoliopsida; Rosales; Rosaceae
Description: long non-coding RNA (FVES_LNC005635)
Source: RNAcentral